ACAUGCAGUCGAGGGGCAGCAGGGGUAGCAAUACCCGCUGGCGACCGGCAAACGGGUGCGGAACACGUACGCAAUCUACCCAAAACUGAUGAAUAGCCCUCCGAAAGGAGGAUUAAUACAUCGUAACAUCUUAGAGUGGCAUCACUUUAUGAUUAUAGCUCCGGCGGUUUUGGAUGAGCGUGCGGCUGAUUAGGUAGUUGGCAGGGUAACGGCCUACCAAGCCUACGAUCAGUAACUGGUGUGAGAGCACGACCAGUCACACGGGCACUGAGACACGGGCCCGACUCCUACGGGAGGCAGCAGUAAGGAAUAUUGGUCAAUGGACGCAAGUCUGAACCAGCCAUGCCGCGUGAAGGAUGAAGGUCCUCUGGAUUGUAAACUUCUUUUAUAGGGGAAGAAACCCGGAAAUUCUUUUCCGGUUGACGGUACCCUGGGAAUAAGCACCGGCUAACUCCGUGCCAGCAGCCGCGGUAAUACGGAGGGUGCAAGCGUUAUCCGGAUUCACUGGGUUUAAAGGGUGCGUAGGUGGAUCUGUAAGUCAGUGGUGAAAUCUCCAAGCUUAACUUGGAAACUGCCGUUGAUACUAUAGAUCUUGAAUGCUGUGGAGGUGAGCGGAAUAUGUCAUGUAGCGGUGAAAUGCUUAGAUAUGACAUAGAACACCAAUUGCGAAGGCAGCUCACUACCCAGAUAUUGACACUGAGGCACGAAAGCGUGGGGAUCAAACAGGAUUAGAUACCCUGGUAGUCCACGCCCUAAACUAUGGAUACUCGACAUACGCGAUACACUGUGUGUGUCUGAGCGAAAGCAUUAA
This 811-nucleotide ribosomal RNA is filed under the name uncultured Flavobacterium sp. RNAcentral's name for it is "bacterial SSU rRNA". It matches the Rfam family "Bacterial small subunit ribosomal RNA", at positions 53 to 863 of the family's 1533-position model. The record is from RNAcentral. Lineage: Bacteria; Pseudomonadati; Bacteroidota; Flavobacteriia; Flavobacteriales; Flavobacteriaceae.